GCCAGCUGAUAUAUCAAGCUGCAGCUUACAACUAGCAACAAAUUAAAGCUCAGCAGGUGUGAGCCUGAGCAGUACCUGCAUGGGAGACCUCCUGGGAAAGCUAAGGUUUUUGCUGGAA
RNAcentral lists this ribosomal RNA (118 nucleotides) under Lepisosteus oculatus (spotted gar). Lineage: Eukaryota; Metazoa; Chordata; Actinopteri; Semionotiformes; Lepisosteidae. The record is from RNAcentral.